UAGCAUAUCAAUAAGCGGAGGAAAAGAAACCAACGGGAAUUGCCCUAGUAACGGCGAGUGAAGCGGCAACAGCUCAAAUUUGAAAUCUGGCUCUUUCAGAGUCCGAGUUGUAAUUUGCAGAGGGCGCUUUGGCUUUGGCAGCGGUCCAAGUUCCUUGGAACAGGACGUCACAGAGGGUGAGAAUCCCGUACGUGGUCGCUAGCUAUUGCCGUGUAAAGCCCCUUCGACGAGUCGAGUUGUUUGGGAAUGCAGCUCUAAAUGGGAGGUAAAUUUCUUCUAAAGCUAAAUAUUGGCCAGAGACCGAUAGCGCACAAGUAGAGUGAUCGAAAGAUGAAAAGCACUUUGGAAAGAGAGUCAAACAGCACGUGAAAUUGUUGAAAGGGAAGCGCUUGCAGCCAGACUUGCUUGCAGUUGCUCAUCCGGGCUUUUGCCCGGUGCACUCUUCUGUAGGCAGGCCAGCAUCAGUUUGGGCGGUGGGAUAAAGGUCUCUGUCACGUACCUCUCUUCGGGGAGGCCUUAUAGGGGAGACGACAUACCACCAGCCUAGACUGAGGUCCGCGCAUCUGCUAGGAUGCUGGCGUAAUGGCUGUAAGCGGCCCGUCUUGAAACACGGACCAAGGAGUCUAACAUCUAUGCGAGUGUUUGGGUGUCAAGCCCGAGCGCGUAAUGAAAGUGAACGGAGGUGGGAACCCGCAAGGGUGCACCAUCGACCGAUCCUGAAGUUUACGGAAGGAUUUGAGUAAGAGCAUGGCUGUUGGGACCCGAAAGAUGGUGAACUAUGCUUGAAUAGGGUGAAGCCAGAGGAAACUCUGGUGGAGGCUCGCAGCGGUUCUGACGUGCAAAUCGAUCGUCAAAUUUGGGCAUAGGGGCGAAAGACUAAUCGAACUAUCUAGUAGCUGGUUCCU
RNAcentral lists this ribosomal RNA (905 nucleotides) under Bipolaris oryzae. Its description in RNAcentral is "LSU rRNA". It matches the Rfam family "Eukaryotic large subunit ribosomal RNA", at positions 36 to 959 of the family's 3401-position model. Lineage: Eukaryota; Fungi; Ascomycota; Dothideomycetes; Pleosporales; Pleosporaceae. The record is from RNAcentral.